RNAcentral lists this ribosomal RNA (440 nucleotides) under uncultured bacterium. Its description in RNAcentral is "bacterial SSU rRNA". It matches the Rfam family "Bacterial small subunit ribosomal RNA", at positions 338 to 772 of the family's 1533-position model. The record is from RNAcentral.
CCUACGGGAGGCAGCAGUGGGGAAUUUUGGGCAAUGGGCGCAAGCCUGACCCAGCAACGCCGCGUGAGGGAGGAAAUCCUUCGGGAUGUAAACCUCGCAAGUCCGGGAAGAGCGCGCGGGCGCCAACACCGCCCGCGCCCGACGGUACCGGGCGUAAGCCACGGCUAACUACGUGCCAGCAGCCGCGGUAAUACGUAGGUGGCAAGCGUUGUUCGGAAUUACUGGGCGUAAAGGGCGCGUAGGCGGCGUGCCGCGUCGGCCGUGAAAGCCCGGGGCUCAACCCCGGAGGGUCGGCCGAGACGGGCAGGCUAGAGUGCGGAAGAGGUGGCCGGAAUUCCCGGUGUAGCGGUGAAAUGCGUAGAUAUCGGGAGGAAUACCGGAGGCGAAGGCGGGCCACUGGGCCGCCACUGACGCUGAGGCGCGAAAGCCAGGGGAGCGAA